UGGGGAAUAUUGGACAAUGGGGGGAACCCUGAUCCAGCCAUGCCGCGUGUGUGAAGAAGGCCUUAUGGUUGUAAAGCACUUUAAGCGAGGAGGAGGGUACUGGUAUUAAUACUACCAGGUACUGGACGUUACUCGCAGAAUAAGCACCGGCUAACUCUGUGCCAGCAGCCGCGGUAAUACAGAGGGUGCGAGCGUUAAUCGGAUUUACUGGGCGUAAAGCGUGCGUAGGCGGCUAAUUGAGUCGGAUGUGAAAUCCCCGAGCUUAACUUGGGAAUUGCAUUAGAUACUGGUUAGCUAGAGUGUGGGAGAGGAUGGUAGAAUUCCAGGUGUAGCGGAGAAAUGCGUAGAGAUCUGGAGGAAUACCGAUGGCGAAGGCAGCCAUCUGGCCUAACACUGACGCUGAGGUACGAAAGCAUGGGGAGCAAACAGG
Molecule: ribosomal RNA, 430 nt
Filed under: Pseudomonadota bacterium
Lineage: Bacteria; Pseudomonadati; Pseudomonadota
Description: Proteobacteria bacterium partial 16S ribosomal RNA
Rfam family: Bacterial small subunit ribosomal RNA
Source: RNAcentral